Molecule: non-coding RNA, 193 nt
Organism: Clostridium perfringens E str. JGS1987
Lineage: Bacteria; Bacillati; Bacillota; Clostridia; Eubacteriales; Clostridiaceae
Source: Rfam
GAGAACUGAACACAAGAUUAGUCGAAUGAAGGGGUAACGCCCUGAAAGGCUAUCCUAAUACUCCGACUGGCAUCAAUGUGAGCAAACACUAAGGUGUCAGACGCUCGGUGAAGUCGGCAGAGAGAUACCGUAACCGAUUGGUCGAAAGUCACUCAGAGGUGAGUGAUGUAUCCUAUAUGCCGGGGUCUAUAAA